RNAcentral lists this ribosomal RNA (112 nucleotides) under Jaculus jaculus (lesser Egyptian jerboa). The record is from RNAcentral. Lineage: Eukaryota; Metazoa; Chordata; Mammalia; Rodentia; Dipodidae.
GUCUACGGCCAUACCACCCUGAACACGCCCGCUCUUGUCUGGUCUCGGAAGCUAAGCAGGGUCAGGCCUGGUUAGUGCUUGGAUGGGAGAAACAGUUAUGUGACUGUUGUUU